This 1039-nucleotide ribosomal RNA is filed under the name Halomonas sp. Its description in RNAcentral is "bacterial SSU rRNA". It matches the Rfam family "Bacterial small subunit ribosomal RNA", at positions 55 to 1092 of the family's 1533-position model. Lineage: Bacteria; Pseudomonadati; Pseudomonadota; Gammaproteobacteria; Oceanospirillales; Halomonadaceae. The record is from RNAcentral.
AUGCAAGUCGAGCGGUACAGAUCUAGCUUGCUAGAUGCUGACGAGCGGCGGAYKGGUGAGUAAUGCAUAGGAAUCUGCCCGGUAGUGGGGGAUAACCUGGGGAAACCCAGGCUAAUACCGCAUACGUCCUACGGGAGAAAGGGGGCUCCGGCUCCCGCUAUUGGAUGAGCCUAUGUCGGAUUAGCUAGUUGGUGAGGUAAUGGCUCACCAAGGCGACGAUCCGUAGCUGGUCUGAGAGGAUGAUCAGCCACAUCGGGACUGAGACACGGCCCGAACUCCUACGGGAGGCAGCAGUGGGGAAUAUUGGACAAUGGGGGGAACCCUGAUCCAGCCAUGCCGCGUGUGUGAAGAAGGCCUUCGGGUUGUAAAGCACUUUCAGCGAGGAAGAACGCCUAGUGGUUAAUACCCAUUAGGAAAGACAUCACUCGCAGAAGAAGCACCGGCUAACUCCGUGCCAGCAGCCGCGGUAAUACGGAGGGUGCAAGCGUUAAUCGGAAUUACUGGGCGUAAAGCGCGCGUAGGUGGCUUGAUAAGCCGGUUGUGAAAGCCCCGGGCUCAACCUGGGAACGGCAUCCGGAACUGUCAAGCUAGAGUGCAGGAGAGGAAGGUAGAAUUCCCGGUGUAGCGGUGAAAUGCGUAGAGAUCGGGAGGAAUACCAGUGGCGAAGGCGGCCUUCUGGACUGACACUGACACUGAGGUGCGAAAGCGUGGGUAGCAAACAGGAUUAGAUACCCUGGUAGUCCACGCCGUAAACGAUGUCGACCAGCCGUUGGGUGCCUAGCGCACUUUGUGGCGAAGUUAACGCGAUAAGUCGACCGCCUGGGGAGUACGGCCGCAAGGUUAAAACUCAAAUGAAUUGACGGGGGCCCGCACAAGCGGUGGAGCAUGUGGUUUAAUUCGAUGCAACGCGAAGAACCUUACCUACUCUUGACAUCCUGCGAAUUUGGUAGAGAUACCUUAGUGCCUUCGGGAACGCAGAGACAGGUGCUGCAUGGCUGUCGUCAGCUCGUGUUGUGAAAUGUUGGGUUAAGUCCCGUAA